UGAUCAGAAGCUAAUUCUUAGCACCUAACUGUUAACUAGGAGAUAGCUAGUAACCACCCUAGCCUGAUCAG
This 71-nucleotide transfer RNA is filed under the name Paralvinella palmiformis. RNAcentral's name for it is "tRNA-Asn". Lineage: Eukaryota; Metazoa; Annelida; Polychaeta; Terebellida; Alvinellidae. The record is from RNAcentral.